GACGAACGCUGGCGGCGUGCUUAACACAUGCAAGUCGAACGGUAAGGCCCUUCGGGGUACACGAGAGGCGAACGGGUGAGUAACACGCGGGUGAUCUGCCCUGCACUUCGGGAUAAGCCUGGGAAACUGGGUCUACUACCGGAUAGGACCCUGGGAUGCAUGUUCUGGGGUGGACAGCUUUUGCGGUGUGGGAUGGGCCCGCGGCCUAGCAGCUUGUUGGUGGGGUGAUGGCCUACCAAGGCGACGACGGGUAGCCGGCCUGAGAGGGUGACCGGCCACACUGGGACUGGGAUACGGCCCAGACUCCUACGGGAGGCAGCAGUGGGGAAUAUUGCACAAUGGGCGCAAGCCUGAUGCAGCGACGCCGCGUGAGGGAUGACGGCCUUCGGGUUGUAAACCUCUUUCAGCACCGACGAAGCGCAAGUGACGGUAGGUGCAGAAGAAGGACCGGCCAACUACGUGCCAGCAGCCGCCGUAA
RNAcentral lists this ribosomal RNA (478 nucleotides) under uncultured bacterium. Its description in RNAcentral is "partial 16S ribosomal RNA". It matches the Rfam family "Bacterial small subunit ribosomal RNA", at positions 28 to 523 of the family's 1533-position model. The record is from RNAcentral.